This 253-nucleotide ribosomal RNA is filed under the name uncultured bacterium. RNAcentral's name for it is "partial 16S ribosomal RNA". It matches the Rfam family "Bacterial small subunit ribosomal RNA", at positions 524 to 776 of the family's 1533-position model. The record is from RNAcentral.
UACGUAGGUGGCAAGCGUUGUCCGGAUUUACUGGGCGUAAAGAGCGCGCAGGCGGUCGUUCAAGUCGCGUGUGAAAGCCCCCGGCUCAACUGGGGAGGGUCACGCGAUACUGAUCGACUCGAAGGCAGGAGAGGGAAGUGGAAUUCCCGGUGUAGUGGUGAAAUGCGUAGAUAUUGGGAGGAACACCAGUGGCGAAGGCGACUACCUGGCCUGUUCUUGACGCUGAGGCGCGAAAGCUAGGGGAGCAAACGGG